Long non-coding RNA from Xiphophorus maculatus (southern platyfish), 1242 nucleotides. RefSeq lists it as uncharacterized. The transcript is spliced from 2 exons. The record is from RefSeq and is a predicted model, not a curated record. Lineage: Eukaryota; Metazoa; Chordata; Actinopteri; Cyprinodontiformes; Poeciliidae.
UAGAAAGAUCACAGUAACUUCAGCACAGCUUAAUGUCAGAAGAGGGUUUGAAAAAUAGGACUUCAGGAAGAUGAUCUUAAAUCUAUUGUUUCAUUGAGCUUGUGACAAGCAGCCUCACAAGAAAGAUUGUUUUUCUUUUAUUCUUUUUCUUUUAAAAAUUUACUUAGCAUUUACUUAGCAUUGUAAUUUUAACAACACUUUCACAUGCCUGCAAUUUUCACAGCUUAUUUCCAGGAGUUCAAAAUAACUUGAGUAAAGGCUGAGUUGCAUUUUCACACAAAGUCUUUUCAACAGGUAGGUUAUACAUCCUGGAAAAGUGUUCAGAUAUGGCUAAACUAAAUCCACAAAUAUUUUAGAUAUCUGUCAGCAACUUGUAGUUGUCCAAUAUUAUUAUUAUUAUUUUUUUUUUUUAAGAUUUUUCUGGCUGUAGUGGCAUUUUUGGAGAGUGUUCACACAGAUGUUUUAUUAAGGCCAACUUCUGCACCCUUUAGAGAACUACUGUACAUUUUAAUAAUGAUUGUUAGGUGUUGUAACCCCAGGGGGCAGCACUGAGCUUCUAAAUUCAGAGGAAAUUCUGACACAGCAAAGUUGGCAAUGGAGAAAAUCUUAAUGUCUGUCAUGAUUCAUGUUCUGUCCUGUCCAUGCUGUGCUUAAACACUCAUUCAGCUCACCUGCCACGCCUGAUUGCUUACCUGUUCCACCUGGUCCCCGCCCUACUUAAACACCUCUCAGCCUCUGCCUCCUUGCCAGAUUAUCAACAGCCACGAGUCAGUAGGGAUCCAGUGUUUCCUUCCAAGCCUUCAGUAUUUUUAUGAUCCUUUUCUGUCCACGGAUCGACCCCCGCCAAGCCCUCCACGGAUCCAAUCUGUUCUGGAUUUCUGGACCCUGAGCCAAGCUUUGCCUCCCGACCACAGAGUAUUGCCUGCCCCUCAAGCUACGUUUGCUCUCUCUGUCCUCCUGUGUAUGACCUCUGCCUGAUUUUUGUCAAAGUCCCUGGGUGUUGCCUCUUGGAUCUCCUUGUGGAGAGUUUCAUUGCUUCCACAAAAGCCUGUUCUACCUGGUUUCUCAGCUCCACCCGUCCACUGCUCUACAGUGCUGUUUGACGACUGCAUCCUGAGCAGCAACCAGAGUCUGAAAAUUUAAUUGAACUUGUUUUUUCCUUUGCAAACUCCUGUGUGUGGUUGAAUUUCCAAGUCCCCACUGAGUGUCCUUACAAAUGUCCAUUAAAAAGUGCUGAAGAUG